Molecule: unclassified non-coding RNA, 337 nt
Filed under: soil metagenome
Description: partial contains 5.8S ribosomal RNA, internal transcribed spacer 2, and large subunit ribosomal RNA
Rfam family: 5.8S ribosomal RNA (bases 1-120)
Source: RNAcentral
GAUGAAGAACGUAGCGAAAUGCGAUAAGUAAUGUGAAUUGCAGAAUUCAGUGAAUCAUCGAAUCUUUGAACGCACAUUGCGCCCCUUGGUAUUCCGGGGGGCAUGCCUGUUCGAGCGUCAUUUCAACCCUCAAGCUCUGCUUGGUAUUGGGCACCGUCCUUUGCGGGCGCGCCUCAAAGACCUCGGCGGUGGCGUCUUGCCUCAAGUGUAGUAGAAUACACCUCGCUUCGGAGCGUAAGGCGUCGCCCGCCGGACGAACCUUCUGAACUUUUCUCAAGGUUGACCUCGGAUCAGGUAGGGAUACCCGCUGAACUUAAGCAUAUCAAUAAGCGGAGGA